GCGGCCACCUGCGCGCGCAUGCGGGCACACACACCCCCACCCCGCCCUCCUAGACGAUUCCAGGCUAGCAAUAGGCCCUCCUCCCGUCAUCUUCCUUCAGCGUCGCAGUGCAUGCUGGGCGGUGUAGUUUUUAUGGCAAACGGAGAGGAGAGUGGGUCAUUGUGCGGCUUCUAGCCCUUCCCGAAUGAUGGUGUUCGGGGGAGAGGGAAGGGGGUGGGUGCCUUCCUCUGAGGCUGAGAGAAUGCGACGUGCUCGUGCAGGUUUCCAUGGCUGAGGAGGGGUUUCAACACUCAUUCCCAUCGUCGCACCUCGCAUGCUCUUUUGAAUUAUGUUCAAAGUACAUCAAUUAGGACAGUUUGCCCUAGGGAGAAACUCCUUACCUAUUACUAUCAUCGUCGUUGCUGUGAUUAUGAGCAAGGUCUUUUCCUUUCACCAGCUCCGAGGCCUUUUGAGGGAACGGGCCUGCUCCAGCCGGAGAGCCCUUGCUGGGCGGCCCACCAUCUUAAGGGCUUCCCUUCGCUGCCUAUCCCACGGCCAUUUCACGAAACCGGCGGAUGUCACAGAAUCGCAUAUUAAAUGGGGCGAGGAAUCCUUCAUCACCUCAUGAAGAGCAAAGAGAACAAGACACACCUUUUCCCUGUACUUCCCUUUGUCCUUUUUUUGACGCUGCGACAGACAUUUGCGCGGGGGGGGGGGGGAGAUCACAAAUACUGUGCCUCAGCCAUUUUAUGAGUUUCCCGCAUAUUCUGGAAGCGGUCAAAAACACAACACUGCCAAUAAAGUUGUGGCUCCAGAUCCUGUGACUUUACCCCACACUGAGCCCCACAGGCUGCAUCCGCACUAUUGAAUGGAUGACACCACUUUGAGAGCUACGAGUGCUGCGGAGUUCGAAGAGGCACGAAUGGAGGGCUUAAGGGAGAAACGUGCCAAGAGGAAGACCCGUCAAGCCAACCCUGACCGGGACCACCUUCCACCUGGAAACUGAUGUCCUCUCUGCGGGAGAACAUGCAGAUCAAGAACAGUUUCAGAUGGAGGAUUCGUCAUGAUGAAAAAGACUUGUGGUUUAACAUUCCAAACAUAGCUACGCAAACCCUCCUUCAAAAUAAAGAACAGCACAGUU
Long non-coding RNA from Anolis carolinensis (green anole), 1120 nucleotides. RefSeq lists it as uncharacterized. The transcript has 2 exons. The record is from RefSeq and is a predicted model, not a curated record. NCBI's taxonomy places the organism in Eukaryota, Metazoa, Chordata, Lepidosauria, Squamata, Anolidae.